This 188-nucleotide small RNA is filed under the name Chrysemys picta bellii (western painted turtle). RNAcentral's name for it is "TUC338 (ENSCPBG00000000876.1)". Lineage: Eukaryota; Metazoa; Chordata; Testudines; Emydidae. The record is from RNAcentral.
GUGAAUGUUUCUGGGGUUUGUACAGUUUAAAGCUUUUGUGCGGAUUGAUUGUGAUUCAGGAUAGGGACAGCUGUCAUUCAGUCGUCUCUAUGCUGCCCCACCAAUGUGUGUCAAAUCUGACCUGAAGGCAAUCCCUCUGGCAGUGAAAGGGAAUGCAGUCUCCAUGGCCUAUUCCAUCCUUGGCCUCU